RNAcentral lists this ribosomal RNA (305 nucleotides) under uncultured bacterium. Its description in RNAcentral is "bacterial SSU rRNA". It matches the Rfam family "Bacterial small subunit ribosomal RNA", at positions 337 to 635 of the family's 1533-position model. The record is from RNAcentral.
ACCUACGGGAGGCAGCAGUAGGGAAUUUUCGUCAAUGGGCGCAAGCCUGAACGAGCAAUGCCGCGUGAACGAGGAAGGUCUUCGGAUCGUAAAGUUCUGUUGAAGGGGAAAAAGAGCGGAGAGAGGAAAUGCUUUCUGAUUGAUAUUACCCUUCGAGGAAGUCACGGCUAACUACGUGCCAGCAGCCGCGGUAAUACGUAGGUGGCGAGCGUUAUCCGGAAUGAUUGGGCGUAAAGGGUGCGUAGGCGGCCUGCUAAGUCUGGAGUGAAAGGUACCGGCUCAACCGGUACAUGCUCUGGAAACUG